Oryza meridionalis is the source of this 205-nucleotide non-coding RNA. NCBI's taxonomy places the organism in Eukaryota, Viridiplantae, Streptophyta, Magnoliopsida, Poales, Poaceae. The record is from Rfam.
UUUAAAUGCAACUAUAAAUUUCCGUUCUCAAUUUUAAUCGCUCAUCUUAUUUGAAAUUUUUUCAUAAUCAGUAUUUUUAUUGUUAUGAGAUGAUAAAAUAUGAACAAUACUUUAUAUGCGACUUAUGAUUUUGAAUUUUUUUAAAAAAAAUUUAAAUAAGACAAAUGAUUAAAGUUGUGCACGGAAAAUCAUGGUUGUACUUAAA